RNAcentral lists this ribosomal RNA (253 nucleotides) under uncultured bacterium. RNAcentral's name for it is "partial 16S ribosomal RNA". It matches the Rfam family "Bacterial small subunit ribosomal RNA", at positions 524 to 776 of the family's 1533-position model. The record is from RNAcentral.
UACAGAGGUGGCAAGCGUUGUUCGGAAUUACUGGGCGUAAAGGGCGCGUAGGCGGCCUUCUAAGUCAUACGUGAAAUCCCUCGGCUUAACCGGGGAACUGCGUCUGAUACUGGAUGGCUUGAGUUUGGGAGAGGGAUGCGGAAUUCCAGGUGUAGCGGUGAAAUGCGUAGAUAUCUGGAGGAACACCGGUGGCGAAGGCGGCAUCCUGGACCAACACUGACACUGAGGAGCGAAAGCCAGGGGAGCAAACGGG